GCAGUCGACGCUAGUCGCGGACCUGAUCACUUCGGUGAGACGUAAAGCAUAUGGCUAGAGUGGCGAACGGGUGAGUAACACGUGGACAACCUGCCUCUAAGCAGGGGAUAACAUUUGGAAACAGAUGCUAAUACCGUAUAACAACGCAUUUCGCAUGAAGUGUGUUUAAAAGGGGCUUCGGCCUCACUUAGAGAUGGAUCCGCGGUGCAUUAGUUAGUUGGUGAGGUAAAGGCUUACCAAGACGAUGAUGCAUAGCCGAGUUGAGAGACUGAUCGGCCACAUUGGGACUGAGACACGGCCCAAACUCCUACGGGAGGCUGCAGUAGGGAAUCUUCCACAAUGGGCGCAAGCCUGAUGGAGCAACGCCGCGUGUGUGAUGAAGGCUUUCGGGUCGUAAAGCACUGUUGUAUGGGAAGAAUAGUUAAUGUAGGAAAUGAUGUUAAUGUGACGGUACCAUACCAGAAAGGGACGGCUAAAUACGUGCCAGCAGCCGCGGUAAUACGUAUGUCCCGAGCGUUAUCCGGAUUUAUUGGGCGUAAAGCGAGCGCAGACGGUUCGUUAAGUCUGAAGUGAAAGCCCACAGCUCAACUGUGGAAUGGCUUUGGAAACUGGCGAACUUGAGUGCAGUAGAGGCAAGUGGAACUCCAUGUGUAGCGGUGGAAUGCGUAGAUAUAUGGAAGAACACCAGUGGCGAAAGGCGGCUUGCUGGACUGUAACUGACGUUGA
This 726-nucleotide ribosomal RNA is filed under the name Leuconostoc fallax. RNAcentral's name for it is "bacterial SSU rRNA". It matches the Rfam family "Bacterial small subunit ribosomal RNA", at positions 57 to 749 of the family's 1533-position model. The record is from RNAcentral. Lineage: Bacteria; Bacillati; Bacillota; Bacilli; Lactobacillales; Lactobacillaceae.